RNAcentral lists this ribosomal RNA (496 nucleotides) under uncultured bacterium. Its description in RNAcentral is "partial 16S ribosomal RNA". It matches the Rfam family "Bacterial small subunit ribosomal RNA", at positions 30 to 523 of the family's 1533-position model. The record is from RNAcentral.
AUUGAACGCUGGCGGAAUGCUUUACACAUGCAAGUCGAACGGUAGAGGGGGCAACCCCUCGAGAGUGGCGAACGGGUGAGUAAUAUAUCGGAACGUGCCCAGUCGUGGGGGAUAACGUAGCGAAAGUUACGCUAAUACCGCAUACGAUCUAAGGAUGAAAGCGGGGGAUCGCAAGACCUCGCGCGAUUGGAGCGGCCGAUAUCAGAUUAGGUAGGUGGUGGGGUAAAGGCUCACCAAGCCAACGAUCUGUAGCAGGUCUGAGAGGACGACCAGCCACACUGGAACUGAGACACGGUCCAGACUCCUACGGGAGGCAGCAGUGGGGAAUUUUGGACAAUGGACGCAAGUCUGAUUCAGCCAUUCCGCGUGCAGGAUGAAGGCCCUCGGGUUGUAAACUGCUUUUGUACGGAACGAAAAGGUCUCUCUUAAUACGGGGGACUCAUGACGGUACCGUAAGAAUAAGCACCGGCUAACUACGUGCCAGCCGCCGCAGUAA